UUUGAUCAUAAAGAAGAUUAAUAAGAAAAGGUCCCACAACCCCAAACCAAAUGCUUGUGGCUGCGCCCCUGCUCAGGGUACGCGGGGCCAGGGCUGCCACAGGAAGCCACCCCCCCGCGGGCGGCGGGCGAGGUCCUGGGAGUGUCACACUCAUAACCUUUUUCUGCUUCUUAGAUGGUGACAAACUGCAGAGCUUGCAGACCUGGCCACCCCCACAGCGGAUGCUGGAGGAGUCCCCUGCAACCAGCUAAGCCAAUGUCACCGGCAGAGGCUUCUAAAUAUAGCAGCAUGUGGGGUCCUGGGCACCGUGGCAGCAGGGCCUCAGCUUUGCUGGACAAAAACUGAGUGGAAGCUGAGUAGCAGGAUGAGGAGCCCACCAGGUGCCCAGUGGGACUUGCCAGGUGCCCAGUGGGACUUGGCAUACAACCACAGGGAGGCUCCCAACCCUCAUACCCUCUCGUGUGUCCCUGAUACAGGCUUCACAUGGGAAGGGGCUUCCAAACGGACCUUCAGGAGAACCAGAUCUCAGCUGGACGCGGCUCCAAGUUCCCACCCGUUAUUUCCUAGAGAGGGCAGCCAUGUACAGAACCCAGGCCCACCGUGCCUGUCCUGGGGGCUCUCCCAGCUCACUGUUGGGCAGGAGGAGGGCGCCAUUCCUCUGCACCCCCCAGAGGUUGCAGAUGCUGUGGCCCACACUGCUCCAGCUGAGCAUGGUCAUUGAGACCUGUCACCGAGUGACAGAAUGCUCACAUCCACCCCAGGGCAGCCACUGUUUCUUCCACAUUUGCAGAUGAGGAAACUGAGGCAGAAAGGACUUUAGUGAUUGGCCAGAGGUCACACAGCAAAAAGGGAUGGACAGACUGGGCAGCAGAUGGCAAGGACCUCAAGUGUUCAUUUGGUUGUUUCUCAGAGCCAGGAAGACAGUGUGAACAUGUGGGAAACAAAUGAAUGGAUCACGGCACUUGAAGACAACCAAGAACAGCCCUGACUACUCCCCA
Marmota monax (woodchuck) is the source of this 998-nucleotide long non-coding RNA. RefSeq lists it as uncharacterized. The transcript is spliced from 2 exons. Lineage: Eukaryota; Metazoa; Chordata; Mammalia; Rodentia; Sciuridae. The record is from RefSeq and is a predicted model, not a curated record.